Molecule: signal recognition particle RNA, 273 nt
Filed under: Peromyscus maniculatus bairdii (prairie deer mouse)
Lineage: Eukaryota; Metazoa; Chordata; Mammalia; Rodentia; Cricetidae
Description: Metazoan signal recognition particle RNA (ENSPEMG00000004915.2)
Rfam family: Metazoan signal recognition particle RNA
About the family: The signal recognition particle (SRP) is a universally conserved ribonucleoprotein. It is involved in the co-translational targeting of proteins to membranes.
Source: RNAcentral
GCCUGUAGUCCCAGCUACUUGGGAGGCUGAGACAGGAGGAUCGCUUGAGUCCAGGAGUUCUGGGCUGUAGUGCGCUAUGCCGAUCGGGUGUCCACACUAAGUUCGGCAUCAAUAUGGUGACCUCCCGGGAGCGGGGGACCACCAGGUUGCCUAAGGAGGGGUGAACUGGCCCAGGUCGGAAACAGAGCAGGUCAAAACUCCUGUGCUGAUCACAAUAACAGUAUUAAAGUAACUUAUCCACUGACUGGAGCCAUAGUUCAGUGCUUCUCACCU